This 249-nucleotide long non-coding RNA is filed under the name Mus spicilegus (steppe mouse). RNAcentral describes it as "lncRNA (ENSMSIG00000020163.1)". Lineage: Eukaryota; Metazoa; Chordata; Mammalia; Rodentia; Muridae. The record is from RNAcentral.
AGAAGCUCAGCUCUUCUUCCUGCCCUGGGCAGUCCCAGAGAGCAUUUAACUCCAUAGGAUCAUGGUGGUGGUUGUCUUCACGCCUGGAUGUGUUCCCUGCACCAUGCCUGCCCUGCAAGCUGGAAUGGCUGCAGCCUUCAGUUGGAUGGCCCGGAGGUGCUGCUUCCAGGCCAAGCUCUUCCUUCUUGCUCUUGAAGGCCACCAAGUGCCCCAGUCUACAGUAUCUCAGGUACCACCACUCUCUAGGAG